This 599-nucleotide ribosomal RNA is filed under the name Planiliza subviridis (greenback mullet). Its description in RNAcentral is "partial large subunit ribosomal RNA". It matches the Rfam family "Bacterial large subunit ribosomal RNA", at positions 1805 to 2610 of the family's 2925-position model. Lineage: Eukaryota; Metazoa; Chordata; Actinopteri; Mugiliformes; Mugilidae. The record is from RNAcentral.
UAUCAAAAACAUCGCCUCUUGCUAACUACACAUAAGAGGUCCUGCCUGCCCUGUGACCCUAAGUUCAACGGCCGCGGUAUUUUGACCGUGCAAAGGUAGCGUAAUCACUUGUCUCUUAAAUGAGGACCUGUAUGAAUGGCACAACGAGGGCUUAACUGUCUCCUUUCCCCGGUCAGUGAAAUUGAUCUUCCCGUGCAGAAGCGGGAAUCUUAACAUAAGACGAGAAGACCCUAUGGAGCUUUAGACUCUAGAACAGAUCAUGUAAGCUACUUCCAUAAAAUAAGUAAUAACUAUUGAAUUUCUGUUCCCCUGUCUUCGGUUGGGGCGACCACGGGGAAUAAAAAAACCCCCACGUGGACCAGGAGCACAUUACUUCUACAACCAUGAGCCACAGCUCUAAUGCACAAAACAUUUGACCAUUAGAUCCGGCAAGGCCGAUCAACGAACCAAGUUACCCUAGGGAUAACAGCGCAAUCCCCUUUAAGAGUCCAUAUCGACAAGGGGGUUUACGACCUCGAUGUUGGAUCAAGACAUCCUAAUGGUGCAGCCGCUAUUAAGGGUUCGUUUGUUCAACGAUUAAAGUCUUACGUGAUCUGAGU